This 497-nucleotide ribosomal RNA is filed under the name uncultured bacterium. Its description in RNAcentral is "partial 16S ribosomal RNA". It matches the Rfam family "Bacterial small subunit ribosomal RNA", at positions 28 to 507 of the family's 1533-position model. The record is from RNAcentral.
GAUGAACGAGGGGGGCGUGCCUAAUACAUGCAAGUCGAGCGAACAGACGAGGAGCUUGCUCCUCUGACGUUAGCGGCGGACGGGUGAGUAACACGUGGAUAACCUACCUAUAAGACUGGGAUAACUUCGGGAAACCGGAGCUAAUACCGGAUAAUAUAUUGAACCGCAUGGUUCAAUAGUGAACGACGGUUUUGCUGUCACUUAUAGAUGGAUCCGCGCCGCAUUAGCUAGUUGGUAAGGUAACGGCUUACCAAGGCAACGAUGCGUAGCCGACCUGAGAGGGUGAUCGGCCACACUGGCACUGAGACACGGUCCAGACUCCUACGGGAGGCAGCAGUAGGGUAUCUUCCGCAAUGGGCGAAAGCCUGACGGAGCAACGCCGCGUGAGUGAUGAAGGUCUUCGGAUCGUAAAACUCUGUUAUUAGGGAAGAACAACUGUGUAAGUAACUAUGCACGUCUUGACGGUACCUAAUCAGAAAGCCACGGCUAACUACGUG